RNAcentral lists this ribosomal RNA (547 nucleotides) under uncultured Actinomycetes bacterium. RNAcentral's name for it is "bacterial SSU rRNA". It matches the Rfam family "Bacterial small subunit ribosomal RNA", at positions 254 to 812 of the family's 1533-position model. Lineage: Bacteria; Bacillati; Actinomycetota; Actinomycetes. The record is from RNAcentral.
GGGGUAACCGGCCUACCAAGGCGACGACGGGUAGCCGGCCUGAGAGGGUGACCGGCCACACUGGGACUGAGACACGGCCCAGACUCCUACGGGAGGCAGCAGUGGGGAAUAUUGCGCAAUGGGCGGAAGCCUGACGCAGCGACGCCGCGUGGGGGAUGACGGCCUUCGGGUUGUAAACCUCUUUCAGCAGGGACGAAGCGGAAGUGACGGUACCUGCAGAAGAAGCACCGGCCAACUACGUGCCAGCAGCCGCGGUAAUACGUAGGGUGCAAGCGUUGUCCGGAAUUAUUGGGCGUAAAGGGCUCGUAGGCGGUCUGUCGCGUCGGGAGUGAAAACUCAGGGCUUAACCCUGAGCCUGCUUCCGAUACGGGCAGACUUGAGUUCGGUAGGGGAGACUGGAAUUCCUGGUGUAGCGGUGAAAUGCGCAGAUAUCAGGAGGAACACCGAUGGCGAAGGCAGGUCUCUGGGUAGUAACUGACGCUGAGGAGCGAAAGCAUGGGUAGCGAACAGGAUUAGAUACCCUGGUAGUCCACGCCGUAAACGUUGG